CCCGCAUAGCAAAAUACAGUUUGCCAUACUUUCCAAACAGAAAGUAUCCUCUAACUGUUACUGUUACUUUAAGACAAACGUUUGGUUUUCUGUUUAACAAUAUGAAGCCUGACGCUACACACCAUAGAGAACGUCUUUGAUAAUGUAUACCAACUAGUAACAGUAUGUUAUAAUGUCGGUACAUUGUUUGACGUUAUGGAAAUAAAACUCGUGAGAAAUGGUGGCACUAUGGCAUCACCUCAAGUCAAACGGUCUGUACUCGCAGUAGCGCAACACACUAUCACAUAUGAGUUUCACAAUACAGUACUUAUGCUCAACAAUCUGUCAUAUGAUUAGAAGCAUUUGUAUUUGUAAAUGAAAUAUCCUAAGGUUUGCCGCUGCGCUGUCUGUCAGAUUAUUCAAGAAAAAAAAGCAAAAAGUGCAAAUCUUGGAUUUCCGAACAAUUAAAAAAUACUUUGUCUCCGGCUCAACUGCGGAAUUUUAAAGUGCCUCCUAAACCGGAAUCGAAAGGUGGUGGGCCACAGGUCAUCGUGGCGGGCUGGCGCAACAGGCAACAAAAUUAAAGAUUGUUACCGACACAUUCCGGCGAAAUGACCAACGAAGUGGACUUCGGUGACACUCGGUUCCCUUUCGAAAGGAUGUCCGGUUUCCUCAUCUCGCUGCAAGAGCCGUAAGUGGCACUUCCAGGCCCGUAGGAAGCAGAUGUCGGUGCUCCUAUCUAAGAAUGGAACAAACGUGUACGUCGGUGUGCAUAAUCGUGAAGCUGAAGGUGGACAAUAAUCGCAAGAGGGUCCUGGACAAACGUGCUGCCGGAAUCCGGGCGGCGUUGUCGAAGGAGAAGGACAAGUGCACCAAGUUUUUAUGUCUCCACUGCCUUCUCACCAACAGUCGGAACCUGCCGGAAUGGCACCGCCGAAGCAUGUUCAUUGUUGCCACUAGCGGGAAGGAGAAAUGCGUGCCAUUAUUUGUAAUUCGUAUAAGUAAUAAGUGUUAUUCAUCUUCCCUUAAUAAACAAUCAUUAAUAUUUGGAGAAAUAUUUUUGUUUGUGUACUGCUCAAAACCAUCAUCCUGUUUGAUUUAUUGUAAAUAAUCAAAUUAAACAGGAUGAUAGUUCAUUUCCAAGUUUUAAUAAUUGUUUGAAAAAAGUUUAAAUACAGUAGAACCAUAUAUCAUACGUUUAAAAUACCAUGGAAGACCAUAAAUCAAUAAUAGCAUAUACAGUGUUCGUUUUUCAUCAAAUAUUAUGGUUAAACUGUUCUCUAA
Molecule: long non-coding RNA, 1263 nt
Organism: Aedes albopictus (Asian tiger mosquito)
Lineage: Eukaryota; Metazoa; Arthropoda; Insecta; Diptera; Culicidae
Exons: 2
Source: RefSeq, a predicted model, not a curated record